Molecule: signal recognition particle RNA, 298 nt
Filed under: Oncorhynchus kisutch (coho salmon)
Lineage: Eukaryota; Metazoa; Chordata; Actinopteri; Salmoniformes; Salmonidae
Description: Metazoan signal recognition particle RNA (ENSOKIG00005022637.1)
Rfam family: Metazoan signal recognition particle RNA
About the family: The signal recognition particle (SRP) is a universally conserved ribonucleoprotein.
Source: Rfam by way of RNAcentral
GCCGGGUGCGGUGGCAUGUGCCUGUAAUCCAAGUCACUGGGAGGCUGAGGUUGGUGGAUCAAGUGAGCUGAGGAGCUCUGGGCUGCAGCACACUAUGUGGAACGGGUGUCCACGCUAAGUUCGGUAUCGAUAUGGUGUUCCUGGGGGAGCCCGGGACCACCAGGUUGUCUAAGGAGGGGUGACCGGCCCAGGUCGGAAACGAAGCAGGUCAAAUCCCCCGUGCUGUCCAGUAGUGGGAUAAUACCUGUGAGUAGAUGCUGCAGUGCAGCCUUGGCGAAACAUCGAGACCUAAUCUUUC